GACGAACGCUGGCGGCGUGCUUAACACAUGCAAGUCCAACGGAAAGGCCCUGCUUUUGUGGGGUGCUCGAGUGGCGAACGGGUGAGUAACACGUGAGUAACCUGCCCUUGACUUUGGGAUAACUUCAGGAAACUGGGGCUAAUACCGGAUAGGAGCUCCUGCUGCAUGGUGGGGGUUGGAAAGUUUCGGCGGUUGGGGAUGGACUCGCGGCUUAUCAGCUUGUUGGUGGGGUAGUGGCUUACCAAGGCUUUGACGGGUAGCCGGCCUGAGAGGGUGACCGGCCACAUUGGGACUGAGAUACGGCCCAGACUCCUACGGGAGGCAGCAGUGGGGAAUAUUGCACAAUGGGCGGAAGCCUGAUGCAGCAACGCCGCGUGCGGGAUGACGGCCUUCGGGUUGUAAACCGCUUUCGCCUGUGACGAAGCGUGAGUGACGGUAAUGGGUAAAGAAGCACCGGCUAACUACGU
Molecule: ribosomal RNA, 467 nt
Filed under: uncultured bacterium
Lineage: Bacteria
Description: partial 16S ribosomal RNA
Rfam family: Bacterial small subunit ribosomal RNA
Source: RNAcentral